RNA transcript from Corvus hawaiiensis (hawaiian crow), 1440 nucleotides. RefSeq lists it as uncharacterized. The record is from RefSeq and is a predicted model, not a curated record. NCBI's taxonomy places the organism in Eukaryota, Metazoa, Chordata, Aves, Passeriformes, Corvidae. The transcript is spliced from 2 exons.
ACAGGUUUUAAUAGGUUUUAAUCUAUUUUAAUUGGGUUUUAAUUGGUUUUAAUUGAUUUUAAUCGGUUUUAAUUGGUUUGAAUCGAUUAUUAAUAGGAUUUAUCAGUUUUUAAUGGGUUUAAUUAGGCCCGGAUAGGUUUUAAUCGAUUAUUAAUCGUUUCUAAUCGAUUUCGAUCGAUCGUUGAUGGAUUUAAUCGAUUCCUACGAGUUCGAGACGCUUUAAUUAGAAAGUUAAUUAUUAAUUAAUGUCGAUCAGCGGGAAUUAGGGGAUUAUUAGGGGCUAAUAGCAGGGAUUAAUUGCAAUUAAAGAGAUGAAUUAAUUGAUUGAUGGGAUGGGAAUUAGCAGCUCUGAGGGCCCAGACUGGUUUGUACUGGUCAGUACUGGGCUGGACUGGUCCAUACUGGUUUGUACUGGGCUGUACUGGUCUGUACUGGUCAGUACUGGUCAAGCUGGGAUGGCUGAGGGUGCCUGUACUGGUCAGUACUGGGCUGUACUGGUUUGUACUGGGCCGUACUGGUCCUGUGCUAGACUAUACUGGCCUAUACUGGUCAGUACUGGUCAGUACUGGUCAAGCUGGGGCAGCUGUAGGUACCCAUACUGGUCUGUACUGGUCGGUACUGGGCUGUACUGGGCUAUACUGGCCUAUACUGGUCUGUACUGGUCAAGCUGGGGUGGCUGAGGGUGCCCAUGCUGGUCCCAUACUGGUCCUGUACUGGACUAUACUGGCCUAUACUGGUCAGUACUGGUCAAGCUGGGGCAGCUGUAGGUACCCAUACUGGUCUGUACUGGUCAGUCCUGGGCUGUACUGGGCUGUACUGGUUUGUACUGGUCUGUACUGGUCAGUACUGGGCUGUACUGGGCUAUACUGGCCUAUACUGGUCUGUACUGGUCAAGCUGGGGUGGCUGAGCAUGCCCAUGCUGGUCCCAUACUGGUCCUGUACUGGGCUGUACUGGUCCCAGCUCAUACUGGUUCUGUACUGGUCCUGUACUGGUCAAGCUGGGGCAGCUGCGGGUGCCUGUACUGGUCAGUACUGGGCUGUACUGGGCUGUACUGGUUUGUACUGGGCCGUACUGGUCCCGUACUGGUCCGGGCUGUACUGGUCUGUACUGGUCCCAGCUCAUACUGGUUCUAUACUGGUUCUGUACUGGUAAAGCUGGGGCAGCUGGGGGUCCUGUACUGGUCCCAUACUGGUCCUGUACUGGGCUAUACUGGUCUGUACUGGUAAAGCUGGGGCAGCUGUGGGGGCUGGUACUGGUCCCAUACUGGUCCUGUACUGGGCUGUACUGGUCAGUACUGGUCCGUACUGGUCUGUACUGGUAAAGCUGGGGCAGCUGGGGGGGCUGGUACUGGUCCCAUACUAAUCCUGUACUGGUCUGUACUGGUCUGUACUGGUCCCGUACUGGGCUGUACUGGUCCGUACUGGUCUGUACUGGUCUGU